Molecule: ribosomal RNA, 301 nt
Filed under: uncultured bacterium
Lineage: Bacteria
Description: partial 16S ribosomal RNA
Rfam family: Bacterial small subunit ribosomal RNA
Source: RNAcentral
CAGUCGCCACGGUAAUACGAAGGGGGCUAGCGUUGUUCGGAUUUACUGGGCGUAAAGCGCACGUAGGCGGAUCGAUCAGUCAGGGGUGAAAUCCCAGAGCUCAACUCUGGAACUGCCUUUGAUACUGUCGAUCUGGAGUAUGGAAGAGGUGGGUGGAAUUCCGAGUGUAGAGGUGAAAUUCGUAAAUACUCGGAGGAACACCAGUGGCGAAGGCGGCUCACUGGUUCAUUCUAGACGCUGAGGUGCGAAAGCGUGGGGAGCAAACAGGAUUAGAUACCCCCGUAGUCCCUGUCUCUUAUAC